This is a long non-coding RNA of Peromyscus leucopus (white-footed mouse), 195 nucleotides long. RefSeq lists it as uncharacterized. The record is from RefSeq and is a predicted model, not a curated record. NCBI's taxonomy places the organism in Eukaryota, Metazoa, Chordata, Mammalia, Rodentia, Cricetidae. The transcript has 2 exons.
AAGGUACACGAAUUCCUCCCGUUUCCAUCCUCCAGCUGCUAGGGCGGUGCCCUUUCUCUAUGCAAGGCUGGAUUCUCCCAUUAAUCCAGUCUUUCCUGCCUCCUCUAGCCUGCUCUGGCACAGGGACUGGAAAUGAAUGUCAUGUGGGCAAAAACCAACAUGGUAUUCUCUUAAAGCGACAGACCACCAAAAAAA